AAAUCUUGACCUUUGUCACUUUGUAGUGAUCUUUGGAAGCCAAAGGAGGGAUGACUUCCUUUUGGAAUACCUUUGCCGCCUCCGGUGCCUUUUCUUUCUAAAAGAAAAAUCUGUAACCUCCCUGUAAAUGUAUAUAUGAGGAUUAUUAUGAGUUUAUAUCCUGUGAACUAGGGAAUAUGGGUGAAAUCUUGGGUCCAGUCUCUGCCUGGGUUUGAUCCCCAGUGCUGAUCAGGUCCUAAGAUGGGUGGUGAUAGCACCUUUCUGAAGUUAUUGAAGGUGUAGAGAGAGUGGUUUCAGGAGAGCUGGUGGGUGGUCUUUGAUGUUAGAAAGUCCAUAAACAUCUGAAUGACUCUUAUAUACUGCAUCUAUUGCCUGUCAGUGUAAUGCCUCAGGAAAAUGUAUUUGUUAUUUUCAUAUAACAAAGGCCUAGUGGAUUCUUCCUGUUUCUUCACCCACAUAGGUUCUUCUUAAGACAUUAUUUUAUUUGCAUUUAGGGUGGGGAGGUCUAAUGGGGAUUGAAAUUGACCACUGACACACAUACCCAUCCUGAUUUUGUAUUUUUUUUUUUUUUAGAGAGUGGUUCUCACUGCAUUGUUGAGUGCCUUGCUUUUGCUCAAGCUGGCUUUUUACUUAAGAUCCUUCUGCAUCAGCCUCCUGAGCCACUGGGAUAACAGGCAUGUGCCACUGUGCUUGGCAAC
RNAcentral lists this long non-coding RNA (698 nucleotides) under Marmota monax (woodchuck). The record is from RNAcentral. Lineage: Eukaryota; Metazoa; Chordata; Mammalia; Rodentia; Sciuridae.